This 252-nucleotide ribosomal RNA is filed under the name uncultured bacterium. RNAcentral describes it as "partial 16S ribosomal RNA". It matches the Rfam family "Bacterial small subunit ribosomal RNA", at positions 524 to 776 of the family's 1533-position model. The record is from RNAcentral.
UACGGAGGAUGCGAGCGUUAUCAGGAUUUAUUGGGUUUAAAGGGUGCGUAGGCGGACUGUCAAGUCAGCGGUAAAAUUGAGAGGCUCAACCUCUUCCCGCCGUUGAAACUGGUGGUCUUGAGUGGAUGAGAAGUACGCGGAAUGCGUGGUGUAGCGGUGAAAUGCAUAGAUAUCACGCAGAACUCCGAUUGCGAAGGCAGCGUACCGGCAUCCAACUGACGCUGAGGCACGAAAGCGUGGGGAUCAAACAGG